GACGAACGCUGGCGGCGUGCUUAACACAUGCAAGUCGAACGAGAGCGUAGAGAAAGCUUGCUUUUUCUACAAUCUAGUGGCAAACGGGUGAGUAACGCGUAACCAACCUGCCUAAGGGAGGGGACCAAAAGCGGAAACCGCCGCUAAAAACCAAUAACUUCCCGAAGUUCGCUGGACUAUGGGAGGCAGGGUGGCCCUCAAUUAUUAACCUAUCCCCGAUGGGGGGGUUGGGUCCUGAUUAGCUAGUUGGGGGGGUAACGGCCCACCAAGGGGACGACCGGUAGCCGGUCUGAGGGGAUGAACGGCCACAUUGGAACUGAGACACGGUCCAGACUCCUACGGGAGGCAGCAGGGGGGAAUCUUCCGCAAUGGGCGAAAGCCUGACGGGGCAACGCCGCGUGAGUGAAGACGGCCUUCGGGUUGUAAAGCUCUGUUAUACGGGACGAAUAAUCUUGUGGUUAAUACCCAUGAGAAGUGACGGUACCGUAAGAGAAAGCCACGGCUAACUACGUG
Molecule: ribosomal RNA, 513 nt
Filed under: uncultured bacterium
Lineage: Bacteria
Description: partial 16S ribosomal RNA
Rfam family: Bacterial small subunit ribosomal RNA
Source: RNAcentral